Long non-coding RNA from Dreissena polymorpha, 1001 nucleotides. RefSeq lists it as uncharacterized. The record is from RefSeq and is a predicted model, not a curated record. The transcript is spliced from 4 exons. Lineage: Eukaryota; Metazoa; Mollusca; Bivalvia; Myida; Dreissenidae.
UUUCAUAUUGAACUGUUUUGAUGACUUGUAUUCUGCUAUACAAAAUGUGCUUUUUUCAAUUUCAGGUCAGCAAUGGUAAGUAUAUUGUGUUUCUUUAUGUAUAAUUUUGUAUACAUAUUGUUUUUUUCAUCAUAGCAUGUUUUUUAUAUUUAUGCUUUGUGUAAGUAAAAUGUUCAUAAAUCAUUCUUAUCUUUAAACUAAAAAUGUAUUUUGAUAUGCAAAAUGUCUGUAUGAUUUCAGUUGCCAGAGGUGAGUACCAUAACAGUUGAAAAGUUAGUUUUGUUUAGUUAAAGUUUUGGUUUACAGUUUUGUUUGUUAUUUGGCAAAAUUUACAUGUAUGCAUUGAGUCUUGAUUUCAGCUCGAUUGUGGACUGAAGAAGAUUGCCAGCAGAGGGAUUGGAUACAAAAUACAAACUUUACUGCUGGACGAGUGUUCUCAACUACUAGACGAGUCAGGUUUACUACCAGGCGAGCAGUGACAACAAGGCGCCUUUGUGGAAACAACACAACAAAAAACUCUACUGCAAGACGAGCAGUGACAGCAAGGCGCCUGAACAUGCAACACAAUACAAAAAAUGCCAAUUUGCAAACCUUGAUGUGGACACCGAGUAGUCAAUACAUACGUGUGGCGUAUAGCUGCGACAAAACCGUGGGUCCAUCGCACCGAUAACUUGAACAUUGGCCCGUGUAUGGACAUCAGUGCAACUUUGUGAAUCCAUGUAUCUUUGUGAAUCCAUGUAACAUUGCGAAUGUGUGUCGAUCGAAAAAUGUGUACAUUCUGAACUGAAACGAACUCGGUGUUGCAAGUGGCAAGUGUUGACAGUGUGUAUGUUUAUGUUUAUGUUUUUACAUGAAAACUAAAGGAGAUUGUUCUCCUACCUUUUUUUUCCUUGUUUUAUUGCGCUGGCCAGCAAUAUUGAUGUAUUGAUGUAUGUGUUUGUGUUUAAACUAUGCAAUACCAAAAUCAAACAAAAAAUAAACAUUAACAGUCAUUAACUGUG